Molecule: long non-coding RNA, 1337 nt
Filed under: Canis lupus familiaris (dog)
Lineage: Eukaryota; Metazoa; Chordata; Mammalia; Carnivora; Canidae
Description: lncRNA (ENSCAFG00000055121.1)
Source: RNAcentral
UUUUUUGAUAGAGCACAAGCAGGGGAGCAGCAGAGCGAGAGGGAGAAACAGGCUCCCUGCUGAGAAGGAGGCCUGAUGCCACUGGAUCCCAGGACCCCUGGAAUCAUGAUCUGAACCAAAGACAGAUAUUUAACUAAAGCCACCCAGGUGCCCCAAGAUAUAAUUUUUCAAAGAAUGAUGGGACAUUCCCUGGGAGUCAGAGGUCAGAGUUGCAGGACCUGGAUCACUCAUAGUGUCAUUCGUAACAAGCAGAUAUGAUAUUGCUUUAUAUCCAUAUAGUGAACCUCCAGAAAGCACAGCAAUUUGUGGUAGUCUAAGAAGGAGGCAAUAGCCAAAAUCAAGGUAAAGAGUAGGAAAUGGAUGAAGAAAGAGAAAGAAAGGAAAGAUGGAAGGGUGAUGGAGAUAACAAUAAAAAAGUAAGGGUGAAAAAAUGAAAUAUGUAGGGAUAUAAAAUAAAUCACACAAUCCACUUAUUAAGUUUCACAUGCUAUACUUCACCUUUCCCACAAAUGAUACUAUAUAGUCUCACUGAAACCUUUCUUUAAACAGAUUUAUUUGUUUAUUUGAGAGAAAGAGAGAGACAAACAGCAUGAGCAAGAGGAGAGGCAGAGGGAGAGAAUCUUCAAGCAGAUUCCCUUCUGAGCCCAGUGCCCAUGCGGAGCUUGAUCUCAUGACUAGGAGAUCAUGACCUGAGCCAAAGUGUCACAUACUCAACCGACUAAGCCAUUCAGGCACCGCUCAUUGAAACCAAUUUUAAAAAUAGGUAUCGAGGAGGAGGGGCAGGAUGGCGGAAGAUUAGGGUCUUCAAGUCACCUGUCUCCACCAAAUUACCUAGAAAACCUUCAAAUUAUCCUGAAAAUCUAUGAAUUCGGCCAGAGAUUUAAAGAGAGACCAGCUGGAAUGCUACAGUGAGAAGAGUUCGCGCUUCUAUCAAGGUAGGAAGACGGGGAAAAAGAAAUAAAGAAACAAAAGGCCUCCAAGGGGGAGGGGCCCGCGAGGAGCCGGCCUGAGGCCGGGGCGAGUGUCCCCAGGACAGGAGAGCCCCGUCCCGGAGGAGCAGGAGCUGCACCGACCUUCCCGGGCGGAAAGGGGCCCGCAGGGAGUUGGAGCAGGACCCAGGAGGGCGGGGAUGCCCUCGGGCUCCCGGGGACACUAACAGACACCUGCGCCCCGGGAGAGCGCCGAGCUCCCUAAGGGCUGCAGCGCGCACGGCGGGACCCGGAGCAGCUCGGGGGGCUCGGGGGCGGCUCCGCGGAGGGGGCUGCGGGGCGGGAGCGCGAAUCCACCAGCGCAGGCCCCGGAGCACAGGGCGCUGGGACACAGCCCAGGAUCCCGCC